RNAcentral lists this long non-coding RNA (277 nucleotides) under Homo sapiens (human). RNAcentral's name for it is "HSALNT0140231". The record is from RNAcentral. Lineage: Eukaryota; Metazoa; Chordata; Mammalia; Primates; Hominidae.
AUUUAAUAUUCCUAGAGUGGGCUUAAGGACAAAUGUAUGACAAAGAGAUCUACAUGGCUUUUAUAGCUUUAUCAACUAAUGUAAGGUACUUCACCACUUUCUGUGUUGGUCCUUAGUAGUAAAAUGAGAGAAAUAUUAUAAAAUUUAUAAAUUUCUAUGAACUUUUGAGGCAUGGGUGCUAUAUAUAAUCAUUGUCAUCUUCACACAGAGUUUAUUAAUGGCAUUACUGCAUGCAGCAAUAAAUUAGGGGUUAUAUUUGGCAAAUAGCACAAGUAGA